CCCCUAGACGUUCUGGGCUGCACGCGCGCUACAAUAAUACGCACAGCGAGUAUCACCGAGCUCGAAAGGGCAAGGUAAACAAUAGAAAAGGUACUGUAAUGGUUAUAGAUCCUUGUAAUUAUUGAUCUUCAACGAGGAAUUCCUAGUAAGUAUGUGUCAUCAUCACGCACUGAUUACGUCCCUGCCCUUUGUACACACCGCCCGUCGCUCCUACCGAUUGGGUGAGCCGAUGAAACUCUCGGAUGUAGGCUAUUCAUAGCCCGCAGAAGAGAUUUGAAUCGUAGCGCUUAGAGGAAGGAGAAGCCGUAACA
This 311-nucleotide ribosomal RNA is filed under the name uncultured eukaryote. RNAcentral's name for it is "partial 18S ribosomal RNA". It matches the Rfam family "Eukaryotic small subunit ribosomal RNA", at positions 1470 to 1796 of the family's 1831-position model. The record is from RNAcentral.